This 876-nucleotide ribosomal RNA is filed under the name uncultured bacterium. Its description in RNAcentral is "bacterial SSU rRNA". It matches the Rfam family "Bacterial small subunit ribosomal RNA", at positions 11 to 855 of the family's 1533-position model. The record is from RNAcentral.
GUUUGAUCAUGGCUCAGGAUGAACGCUAGCGGUGCGCCUAACACAUGUAAGUCGUGCGAUCGAGCCGAACUGAGUCCCUUCGGGGAUGAUGAUUGGUGACGGAGCGGCGGACGGGUGAGUAACGCGUGGCUAACCUACCCUCUUGACGGGGACAACCACCCGAAAGGGCGGCUAAUACCCGAUGUUGUCUGGAACCGAUGGGUUCCUCUCCAAAGGCGGUCCUGCCGCCGCAAGAGGAUGGGGCUGCGUCCUAUUAGCUAGUUGGUGAGGUAAUGGCUCACCAAGGCUUCGAUGGGUAGCUGGUCUGAGAGGACGACCAGCCACAUUGGGACUGAGAUACGGCCCAGACUCCUACGGGAGGCAGCAGUGGGGAAUCUUGGCCAAUGGACGAAAGUCUGAGCCAGCGACACCGCGUGGGGGAUGAAGGCCUUCGGGUCGUAAACCUCUUUUCUGGGGAAAGAAUAAGGACGGGAGGAAAUGCCCGCCCGAUGACGGUACUCCAGGAAUAAGCAUCGGCUAACUCUGUGCCAGCAGCCGCGGUAAGACAGAGGAUGCGAGCGUUAUCCGGAAUUACUGGGCGUAAAGGGCGUCUAGGCGGUUCGGUAAGUCGUUUGUGAAAUCCCUCGGCUCAACCGAGGAUGGUCUUGCGAUACUGCCGGGCUUGGGUGCAGGAGAGGAGGGUGGAACUCACAGAGUAGCGGUGGAAUGCGUAGAUAUCAAGAGGAAUGCCGGUGGUGAAGACGAUGCACUAGGCUUGUCCUGAUGCUGAGAUACGAAAGCGUGGGGAGCGAACGGGAUUAGAUACCCCGGUAGUCCACGCCCUAAACGAUGUCUACUAGGUUCUGGAGGUUCUGACGCCGCCAGGGCCGAAGCAAA